Molecule: ribosomal RNA, 36 nt
Filed under: uncultured fungus
Lineage: Eukaryota; Fungi
Description: partial 5.8S ribosomal RNA
Source: RNAcentral
UAAAACUUUCAACACGGAUCUCUUGGUUCUGGCAUC